This 372-nucleotide transfer-messenger RNA is filed under the name Aminipila luticellarii. RNAcentral describes it as "Standard tmRNA". It matches the Rfam family "transfer-messenger RNA". Rfam says of the family: Bacterial tmRNA, also known as 10Sa RNA or SsrA, is named for its dual tRNA and mRNA-like properties. Its role is to liberate the mRNA from a stalled ribosome. The record is from Rfam by way of RNAcentral. Lineage: Bacteria; Bacillati; Bacillota; Clostridia; Peptostreptococcales; Anaerovoracaceae.
GGGGAUGUAAAGGUUUCGACGGGGGUGUAGAAGCCUGAUAAGCGAGCCGCAGUUUGCCAAGUCUGCGUUAAAAAUGGCACGUUAAAUAUAAACGCUAAAAAUAAUAACAAUUACGCAUUAGCUGCAUAGUUCAGCGCCGCGCACAGCGGUAGCGUCGUCGGCCUGCAUUCACCCGUAGGUGCAGAAUCCGGCGUCGACAUACGGGAAAACUCUGUGUGAGCUCCUAGUAGCACGGAGGACUUAUAGGAUAGCUAAUUUAAGAGCCUGCCAACGGGCGCUUAAAGAGGCGAAGCAAUAAAACAUUGGCUGCGCUCGGAGAAAUUCAUGUGGAAAUGCUUUCGGACAGGAGUUCGACUCUCCUCAUCUCCACCA